RNAcentral lists this long non-coding RNA (898 nucleotides) under Homo sapiens (human). Its description in RNAcentral is "long non-coding RNA NONHSAT220556.1". Lineage: Eukaryota; Metazoa; Chordata; Mammalia; Primates; Hominidae. The record is from RNAcentral.
GCGCUGGAAGCCCUGGCGGCGGCGGCCCAUGGGGCCCUUGGCGCUGCCCGCCUGGCUGCAGCCCAGGUAUAGGAAGAAUGCGUAUCUUUUCAUCUAUUACUUAAUCCAGUUCUGUGGCCACUCUUGGAUAUUUACAAAUAUGACAGUCAGAUUCUUUUCAUUUGGAAAAGAUUCAAUGGUUGACACUUUUUAUGCUAUUGGACUUGUGAUGCGACUUUGCCAAUCCGUAUCUCUCCUGGAACUGCUGCACAUAUAUGUUGGCAUUGAGUCAAACCAUCUUCUCCCAAGGUUUUUGCAGCUCACAGAAAGAAUAAUCAUCCUUUUUGUGGUGAUCACCAGUCAAGAGGAAGUCCAAGAGAAAUAUGUGGUGUGUGUUUUAUUCGUCUUUUGGAAUCUAUUGGAUAUGGUUAGGUACACUUAUAGCAUGUUAUCAGUCAUAGGAAUAUCCUAUGCUGUCUUGACAUGGCUCAGUCAAACACUAUGGAUGCCAAUUUAUCCUUUGUGUGUUCUUGCUGAAGAGGCAAAGUUGAAGAGGGAAGCAGCUCUGCACAGUAGACAAAAUACUGGACAAAAAGCAACGGCAUCUGAGGCCUUCACUUCAUUAACUCACUGUCAUUUGCCAUCUAUCAAUCGCUGCCUUAUUUUGAAUCAUUUGGCACUUAUUCCACCAAGCUGCCCUUUGACUUAUCCAUCUAUUUCCCAUAUGUGCUGAAAAUAUAUCUCAUGAUGCUCUUUAUAGGUAUGUAUUUUACCUACAGUCAUCUAUACUCAGAAAGAAGAGACAUCCUCGGAAUCUUUCCCAUUAAAAAAAAGAAGAUGUGAAGUACAGCAUUCCAGUGUGACACGAGAAAAGACAGGCUGUGGAUUCAGUGCAGUAAAUAAAACACAGGAAGUAUUC